GGGGAAUAUUGCACAAUGGGCGCAAGCCUGAUGCAGCGACGCCGCGUGGAGGAUGAAGGCCUUCGGGUCGUAAACUCCUGUCUGGGGGGAUGAAAACUGACAGUACCCCCGGAGGAAGCCCCGGCUAACUACGUGCCAGCAGCCGCGGUAAUACGUAGGGGGCGAGCGUUGUCCGGAAUUACUGGGCGUAAAGCGCGCGCAGGCGGCUUGUUAAGUCAGGUGUCAAAAUGCGGGGCUCAACCCCGUAUCGCACUUGAAACUGGCAGGCUUGAGUGCAGGAGAGGGAAGUGGAAUUCCUAGUGUAGCGGUGAAAUGCGUAGAUAUUAGGAGGAACACCAGUGGCGAAGGCGACUUCCUGGACUGUAACUGACGCUGAGGCGCGAAAGCUAGGGGAGCAAAC
Molecule: ribosomal RNA, 400 nt
Filed under: uncultured bacterium
Lineage: Bacteria
Description: bacterial SSU rRNA
Rfam family: Bacterial small subunit ribosomal RNA
Source: RNAcentral